Molecule: ribosomal RNA, 490 nt
Filed under: uncultured bacterium
Lineage: Bacteria
Description: partial 16S ribosomal RNA
Rfam family: Bacterial small subunit ribosomal RNA
Source: RNAcentral
AGUGAACGCUGGCGGUAGGCCUAACACAUGCAAGUCGAACGGCAGCACAGGAGAGCUUGCUCUCUGGGUGGCGAGUGGCGGACGGGUGAGGAAUACAUCGGAAUCUGCCCAGUCGUGGGGGAUAACGUAGGGAAACUUACGCUAAUACCGCAUACGACCUUCGGGUGAAAGAGGGGGAUCGCAAGACCUCUCGCGAUUGGAUGAGCCGAUGUCGGAUUAGCUAGUUGGCGGGGUAAUGGCCCACCAAGGCGACGAUCCGUAGCUGGCCUGAGAGGAUGAUCAGCCACACUGGAACUGAGACACGGUCCAGACUCCUACGGGAGGCAGCAGUGGGGAAUAUUGGACAAUGGGCGCAAGCCUGAUCCAGCCAUACCGCGUGGGUGAAGAAGGCCUUCGGGUUGUAAAGCCCUUUUGUUGGGAAAGAAAUCUUUCAGGCUAAUACCCUGGGAGGAUGACGGUACCCAAAGAAUAAGCACCGGCUAACUUCGUG